UGUGUAGGCGGUUCCGUGUGAUUGGUGUGAAAUCUCCCGGCUUAACUGGGAGGGUGCGCCGAUAACUGCGGGGCUUGAGUAUUGGAGAGGAGAGCGGAAUUCCUGGUGUAGCGGUGAAAUGCGUAGAUAUCAGGAGGAACACCGGUGGUGUAGACGGCUCUCUGGACAAUCACUGACGCUGAGACACGAAAGCGUGGGGAGCAAACAGGAUUAGAUACCCUGGUAGUCCACGCCCUAAACGAUGCAUACUUGGUGUGAGCCAUUCAUUUGGUUCGUGCCGGAGCUAACGCGUUAAGUAUGCCGCCUGGGGAGUACGGUCGCAAGGCUGAA
RNAcentral lists this ribosomal RNA (330 nucleotides) under uncultured Acidobacteriaceae bacterium. RNAcentral describes it as "bacterial SSU rRNA". It matches the Rfam family "Bacterial small subunit ribosomal RNA", at positions 568 to 898 of the family's 1533-position model. The record is from RNAcentral. Lineage: Bacteria; Pseudomonadati; Acidobacteriota; Terriglobia; Terriglobales; Acidobacteriaceae.